GACGAACGCUGGCGGCGUGCUUAACACAUGCAAGUCGAACGGAAAGGCCCGGCGUUUGUGGGGUGCUCGAGUGGCGAACGGGGGAGUAACACGUGAGUAACAUGCCCUUGACUGUGGGAGAACUUCAGGAAACAGGGGCGAAUACCGGAUAGGAGCUCCUGCUGCACGGUGGGGGUUGGAAAGUUUCGGCGGUUGGGGAUGGACUCGCGGCUUAUCAGCUGGUUGGGGGGGUAGUGGCUUAACAAGGUUUCGAAGGGUAGGCGGCCUGGGAGGGUGACCGGCCUCAUUGCGCCUGCGGUACGCCCCAGUCUCCUACGUGACGCAGUGGUCGGGAAUAUUACACAAUGAGCGCACGUGUGUGACGGCGGCGUUGCGUGCGUAAUGCCGGCCUUUGGGUUGUAAACCGCUUUCGACUGUACCGUGGCGUUAUUGACGGUAAUGGGUAAAGAAGCACCGGCUAACUACGUG
RNAcentral lists this ribosomal RNA (468 nucleotides) under uncultured bacterium. RNAcentral's name for it is "partial 16S ribosomal RNA". It matches the Rfam family "Bacterial small subunit ribosomal RNA", at positions 28 to 507 of the family's 1533-position model. The record is from RNAcentral.